RNAcentral lists this small RNA (1307 nucleotides) under Arabidopsis thaliana (thale cress). RNAcentral describes it as "ATSL011730". Lineage: Eukaryota; Viridiplantae; Streptophyta; Magnoliopsida; Brassicales; Brassicaceae. The record is from RNAcentral.
UGGGACUAAAUGAAGCAAGAUUAGAGCAAACCGAGUGAUCGGCCAAUUGAUCGAACCAGAUUGUCAAACCGGUUUGGUAACUCGUUACCCCUAGCUACGCCACUACACUACUUGCAUUGUUGCAAAGACCAAGUGGCUGUUGUGUUUUGGAAAAAAAAAAAACGUUCUGGGGUUUAGAAAAAUUGGGUAGCGAAUGGGUCCUUUUGAAAGUGAUAUUUUUUUUUGUAGAAGAGGGGGGCGAACCCCCAUUUUUAUUAAAACUGAAAAAACUAAAAAAAUUACACUUGAACGUUCCGGGGGUACGCAGACCCCGCUACAUCAUCGUGAACAAUCGACAUAACAAUAUCCGGAGUAGAAUUAAACAAAUGAAAACCUAACGGUAAAAAAAAAGCAUAGUUAGCUAACCCAUCCGCGAGACGAUUAGCUUCUCUAUACACAUGCGAAAUCCGGACUGACCAGUCCUUUGAAAGUAAGCCAUGGCACAACCGCACCAGGAAGGACAGCGGAUGCGAAUCAUCAAUCCCUGUCCGAAGAAAACCCACUACCAUCUCCGAAUCAAUCUCCAUCUCCAACUGUGUGACACCGCGCUCCCAAGCGAUAUUUAAACCGUAAUAUGCUCCCCAUAGUUCCGCAAGCGGAGCCGAACAAAUUCCAAUAUUCAACGAAAACCCAUAACACCAAUUUCCAUCCCCGUCUCGAACUACUCCACCUGCUGUAGCUAGUCUCGGGUUACCACGCGAAGCACCAUCAGUAUUGAGCUUAAACCAACCCACCCUUGGCGGAGACCACGCAAUCAAUCUCUCCUCCCUAGCUGUCCGCGUCGUCACUCCCAUUUUGUGCACAUGCGCCUUCCAAACAUCCAACGCACGAUCCUUAAUAAAACGAACCCGAUCCCGACACUUCUUGUUCUCGCCAAAGAUGUUACCGUAACGCCAUUUCCACCCCCACCAUAUGGCCUGCGAAAAAGUGACCGCCCAUGGACAACCAUUAAUCUCUAUCUCCUCUCCUAAAUUCGCAUAGAUCCAUUCUAACAGCGAUUUCGAAAAGAAAGAAGAGAGUCUCCGUACUGGUAACAAGCGGGUCCAAAUUCCCGCCAUCGCCGGACAGUCCCGUAAAAUGUGUAGAAUUGUCUCCUCCCCACUCUCGCCAUGUAGAAGACCAUGUACCUUUAGACACCAUCCACGCUCUGUUAUGAAUAUCACCGACACGGUACUUGCUUCUCAAAAUUUUCGACCAUAGACUCACAUCAUCAUGAAGUGAUAUAGUACUAUAUAACUCUUGUCUUGGUUUUAAUAAUAAAAACAAAA